UACGAAUGGGGCUAGCGUUGUUCGGAUUUACUGGGCGUAAAGCGCACGUAGGCGGAUAGUUAAGUCAGGGGUGAAAUCCUGGGGCUCAACCCCAGAACUGCCUUUGAUACUGGCGAUCUCGAGUCCGGAAGAGGUGAGUGGAACUCCUAGUGUAGAGGUGGAAUUCGUAGAUAUUAGGAAGAACACCAGUGGCGAAGGCGGCUCACUGGUCCGGUACUGACGCUGAGGUGCGAAAGCGUGGGGAGCAAACAGG
This 253-nucleotide ribosomal RNA is filed under the name uncultured bacterium. RNAcentral's name for it is "partial 16S ribosomal RNA". It matches the Rfam family "Bacterial small subunit ribosomal RNA", at positions 524 to 776 of the family's 1533-position model. The record is from RNAcentral.